UACGUAGGGUGCGAGCGUUAAUCGGAAUUACUGGGCGUAAAGCGUGCGCAGGCGGUUUUGUAAGUCAGCUGUGAAAUCCCCGGGCUCAACCUGGGAAUGGCAUUUGGGACUGCAAGGCUCGAGUGCGGCAGAGGAGACUGGAAUUCCUGGUGUAGCAGUGAAAUGCGUAGAUAUCAGGAGGAAUACCGAUGGCGAAGGCAGGUCUCUGGGCUGACACUGACGCUCAUGCACGAAAGCGUGGGGAGCAAACAGG
This 253-nucleotide ribosomal RNA is filed under the name uncultured bacterium. RNAcentral's name for it is "partial 16S ribosomal RNA". It matches the Rfam family "Bacterial small subunit ribosomal RNA", at positions 524 to 776 of the family's 1533-position model. The record is from RNAcentral.